AACAAACGCUGGCGGCGUGCUUAAUACAUGCAAGUCGAACGUGAUAGAGGGGGUAACUCCUCUUGAAAGUGGCGAACGGGUGAGUAACACGUAAGUAAUCUACCUCUAAGAUUGGGAUAACCUUGCCAACGCGAGGCUAAUACCGGAUGUGAUCAUAAAAACGCAUGUUUUAAUGAUUAAAGAUGUGAAUCGCUUGGAGAUGAGCUUGCGGCCCAUUAUGCUUGUUGGCGGGGUAACGGCCCACCAAGGCUUCGAUGGGUAGCCGGCCUGAGAGGGUGUACGGCCACAUUGGGACUGAGAUACGGCCCAGACUCCUACGGGUGGCAG
This 327-nucleotide ribosomal RNA is filed under the name uncultured Fibrobacterota bacterium. RNAcentral's name for it is "bacterial SSU rRNA". It matches the Rfam family "Bacterial small subunit ribosomal RNA", at positions 29 to 351 of the family's 1533-position model. The record is from RNAcentral. Lineage: Bacteria; Pseudomonadati; Fibrobacterota.